AAAAAGACAAACCCUGAUUUUCGUGCCCAACGUUUGACCGUCCGUCUUAUUUAAAAAAAUUAAAAAGAUAAGUCAUACAUAAAGUAUUAAUCAUGUUUUAUCAUCUAACAACAAUGAAAAUACUAAUUAUAAAAAAAUUUCAUAUAAGACGGAGAGUCAAACGUUGGCACGGAAAUUUAGGGUUUGCCUUUUU
RNAcentral lists this microRNA precursor (193 nucleotides) under Oryza sativa Japonica Group (Japanese rice). RNAcentral describes it as "MIR812 microRNA precursor family". It matches the Rfam family "MIR812 microRNA precursor family". The record is from Rfam by way of RNAcentral. Lineage: Eukaryota; Viridiplantae; Streptophyta; Magnoliopsida; Poales; Poaceae.